Molecule: ribosomal RNA, 253 nt
Filed under: uncultured bacterium
Lineage: Bacteria
Description: partial 16S ribosomal RNA
Rfam family: Bacterial small subunit ribosomal RNA
Source: RNAcentral
UACGUAGGGCGCAAGCGUUAUCCGGAAUUAUUGGGCGUAAAGAGCUCGUAGGCGGUUUGUCGCGUCUGCUGUGAAAACCUAAGGCUCAACCUUGGGCUUGCAGUGGGUACGGGCAGACUAGAGUGCGGUAGGGGUGACUGGAAUUCCUGGUGUAGCGGUGGAAUGCGCAGAUAUCAGGAGGAACACCGAUGGCGAAGGCAGGUCACUGGGCCGCAACUGACGCUGAGGAGCGAAAGCAUGGGGAGCGAACAGG